GUGAUGUGAACUUGCCCUAUUAGCAGAUGCUUUCUUGCUCUGCUAUUUGAAGUUGUGAAAUAAUUUCUCGUGUGAUCUGCUUUUUGUCUCUUUUAUGGUUUCAUUAAUGAAGAUACAAUUAUAUCUCUAAUUAUUUAUAGGUCUAAUUUUCAUAUCUAAUAUACUGCAUGGUUCCAUUUGUUGUCUGUAUAUAUGCAUGCACGUGUAAGGUUACUGUCCUGAAUGAGAUUUAUAUGAUUUGCAGGUCACUUGACUGCA
Molecule: unclassified non-coding RNA, 258 nt
Filed under: Hevea brasiliensis (rubber tree)
Lineage: Eukaryota; Viridiplantae; Streptophyta; Magnoliopsida; Malpighiales; Euphorbiaceae
Source: RNAcentral